RNAcentral lists this ribosomal RNA (1157 nucleotides) under Euborellia annulipes. Its description in RNAcentral is "16S ribosomal RNA". The stretch from base 802 to 1120 matches the Rfam family "Archaeal large subunit ribosomal RNA", at positions 2150 to 2716 of the family's 2987-position model. The record is from RNAcentral. Lineage: Eukaryota; Metazoa; Arthropoda; Insecta; Dermaptera; Anisolabididae.
AAAUUGCCUCUUAAUAUAAAUAAAAUUGAUUUAUAUUUAGAACAUUAUAAUAAUAAUAAUAAUUUUAGUUUAAAUUAAUAAAUGAAUUUAUAAAGAAUAAGUACUGUAAAGGAAUGUAUAUAAUUUAAAAAUAAGAAUAAUUAAAAUUAGUACCUUUUGUAUCAGGGUUUAUUAAAUCUUUAAAUGAUUUCAGGUUCCCGAAAUAUAGAGAGUUAAGUUAGAAUAAACUUACUGUGGAAACAUUAAAAAUAAUUUUAACUUGGAAUAGAGAAUAUAUUCAAUCUAUAUAAUAUCUGGUUUCUUAAGAAUUAAAUUGAAUUUAAUCUUGUUUGAGUUAAAUAUUAUAAAGGAUAAACUUUAUAAUAAAUUAAAACUGUUAUUAAGGCGUUAGGAAAAAAUUUUUAAUAGUAAAAGGUUUAAAUUGUUUCUUAUAAAUAACCUAAAUGUUAUUAAAAUUUAUAAUUGGUUUAAUUAGUUAUUAAGAAGUUUUAUAUAAUUAUAAUAUAAAAGAUAAAAUGAUAAAAUUAGUAUAAAUUUUUGUAAAUUUUUAAACUGUAUAAAUUAUAUAAACGAACUCGGCAAAUAAACUUUCAACUGUUUAUCAAAAACAUUUUUUUUAGUAUUAUAUUAAAAAUAUGAUCUGCCCCCUGAAGGUUUAAGGGCCGCGGUAUUUUGACCGUGCAAAGGUAGCAUAAUCAAUAGUCUUUUAAUUGAAGACUUGAAUGAAUGAUUGAAUGGAAGGUUUUCUGUCUCUUUAUAAAUUUUAGAAUUUUAACUUAAUGUAAAAAUGCUUUAAUUUAAUUUUAAGACGAUAAGACCCUAUAGAUCUUGACAAAUUUCAACUUUUGUUUUAUUGGGGCAAUAAGAAAUAUAAAUAUUUCUAUAAAUUACCACAGAUAACUGAAUUUAUAACCCUUUUUAAAGAAUAUAAAUAAGAUACCUUAGGGAUAACAGCGUGAUUCCAUUAGAGAGCACACAUUAACAAUGGGGAUUGCGACCUCGAUGUUGGAUUAAAAUAAAAUAUAAAUGUAGCAGUUUAUAAUUUUAGUCUGUUCGACUAUUAAAAUUUUACAUGAUCUGAGUUAAGACCGGCGUGAGCCAGGUUGGUUUCUAUCUAAAAUUUAAUAAAUUGUAUUAGUACGAAAGGACCAUAUAAU